GAAGGCCUGCGUCCUCUCACUCACCAAUUCCUCUUCCUUCAUCACCAUGGCUGCCUGCUUCACCUCGUCAGAGUCUGAAGAUCACCAGUCAAAAGUCACACAUCACACAAAAACAGAGAUCAGAAUAAAAUAGAUUCGACAGGGGAGACGUCAAGAAGCCAUAGACUUAUACCACGGACCUCCCACCAGCUGUGUGUGUUUACCGUAUUUGGAGUAACCUGUAGCGGUGAUGAUGGGCACAGCGACCAUCACCAGGCCGGAGGCGCUCCAAACGUACUUCAUGAGGAACU
Long non-coding RNA from Xiphias gladius (swordfish), 290 nucleotides. RefSeq lists it as uncharacterized. The transcript is spliced from 3 exons. The record is from RefSeq and is a predicted model, not a curated record. NCBI's taxonomy places the organism in Eukaryota, Metazoa, Chordata, Actinopteri, Istiophoriformes, Xiphiidae.